Molecule: long non-coding RNA, 287 nt
Filed under: Gallus gallus (chicken)
Lineage: Eukaryota; Metazoa; Chordata; Aves; Galliformes; Phasianidae
Source: RNAcentral
UGGCCUUGAACUUCUUCCAGUAUGGUCCUGUUCUGAUCACAGGAUAGUCUUCAUUGCUCACAUCCACUGGCCAAGUAACUGUUAGGAUCCAGGGAUAGGCAAUGAAUUUCUUGUACUGCAAUCCAGUUUCCUCAUCAAAGGUUUCUGUCAUUUUUUGCAUGACAUCCAUCCUGUUUGAUGGAAUUUUGUUUGCAUCUUGUUUGUGUGAAUUCUGAAACAUCUCUGCUGUUACCACACCUUGGCAGCCUGAGCACUGAAUGAAGAAGUUGAUCAGAUCUAGAAGUGCC